AGUGAACGCUGGCGGUAGGCCUAACACAUGCAAGUCGAACGGCAGCACAGUAAGAGCUUGCUCUUACGGGUGGCGAGUGGCGGACGGGUGAGGAAUACAUCGGAAUCUACUUUUUCGUGGGGGAUAACGUAGGGAAACUUACGCUAAUACCGCGUACGACCUACGGGUGAAAGCAGGGGAUCUUCGGACCUUGCGCGAUUGAAUGAGCCGAUGUCGGAUUAGCUAGUUGGCGGGGUAAAGGCCCACCAAGGCGACGAUCCGUAGCUGGUCUGAGAGGAUGAUCAGCCACACUGGAACUGAGACACGGUCCAGACUCCUACGGGAGGCAGCAGUGGGGAAUAUUGGACAAUGGGCGCAAGCCUGAUCCAGACAUACCGCGUGGGUGAAGAAGGCCUUCGGGUUGUAAAGCCCUUUUGUUGGGAAAGAAAAGCAGCAGGUUAAUACCCCGCUGUUCUGACGGUACCCAAAGAAUAAGCGCCGGCUAACUUCGUGC
RNAcentral lists this ribosomal RNA (493 nucleotides) under uncultured bacterium. RNAcentral's name for it is "partial 16S ribosomal RNA". It matches the Rfam family "Bacterial small subunit ribosomal RNA", at positions 29 to 508 of the family's 1533-position model. The record is from RNAcentral.